This 253-nucleotide ribosomal RNA is filed under the name uncultured bacterium. RNAcentral describes it as "partial 16S ribosomal RNA". It matches the Rfam family "Bacterial small subunit ribosomal RNA", at positions 524 to 776 of the family's 1533-position model. The record is from RNAcentral.
UACAGAGGGUGCAAGCGUUGUUCGGAAUUAUUGGGCGUAAAGCGCGUGUAGGCGGCUUUGCAAGUCGGGUGUGAAAGCCCUCAGCUUAACUGAGGAAGUGCGCCCGAAACUGCAGAGCUUGAGUACCGGAGAGGAUGGUGGAGUUCCCCAAGUAGAGGUGAAAUUCGUAGAUAUGGGGAGGAACACCGGUGGCGAAGGCGACCAUCUGGACGGAUACUGACGCUGAGACGCGAAAGCGUGGGUAGCAAACAGG